This 253-nucleotide ribosomal RNA is filed under the name uncultured bacterium. Its description in RNAcentral is "partial 16S ribosomal RNA". It matches the Rfam family "Bacterial small subunit ribosomal RNA", at positions 524 to 776 of the family's 1533-position model. The record is from RNAcentral.
UACGUAGGUGGCAAGCGUUGUCCGGAAUUAUUGGGCGUAAAGCGCGCGCAGGCGGUCCUUUAAGUCUGAUGUGAAAGCCCACGGCUCAACCGUGGAGGGUCAUUGGAAACUGGGGGACUUGAGUGCAGAAGAGGAAAGCGGAAUUCCACGUGUAGCGGUGAAAUGCGUAGAGAUGUGGAGGAACACCAGUGGCGAAGGCGGCUUUCUGGUCUGUAACUGACGCUGAGGCGCGAAAGCUAGGGGAGCAAACAGG